UGAUGACGAGACGCUAAGGCGUUGAAGCAGUCUAUGUCAUACUUCCAAGAAAAGCUCGCAAUGUCAUAAACAAAUAAUGCCUGUACCAUAACCGACACAGGUGGGUAGGUAGAGUAUACUAAGGGGCGCGAGAUAACUCUCUCUAAGGAACUCGGCAAAAUGACUCCGUAACUUCGGGAGAAGGAGUGCCUUAUUUAUAAGGUUGCAAUAACAAGAUCCAAGCAACUGUUUAUCAAAAACACAGGUCUCCGCUAAGUCGUAAGACGAUGUAUGGGGGCUGACGCCUGCCCAGUGCCAGAAGGUUAAAGAAGUUGGUUAGUGUAUGCGAAGCUGAUGACUGAAGCCCUGGUGAACGGCGGCCGUAACAAUAACGGUCCUAAGGUAGCGAAAUUCCUUGUCGGGUAAGCUCCGACCCGCACGAAAGGCGUAAUGAUUUGGAUACUGUCUCGGAGAGAGGCUCGGUGAAAUAGACUUGUCUGUGAAGAUGCGGACUACCUGCACCAGGACAGAAAGACCCUAUGAAGCUUUACUGUAACUUGAAAUUGGAAUUGGACUUUGCUUGCGCAGUAUAGGUGGGAAGCGUUGAAAAUAUUCUUGCGGGAGUAUUGGAGCUAUCAGUGAGAUACCACUCUUGUAAUGUUAGAUUUCUAACUUUGAACCAUAAUCUGGUCAAAGAACAGUUUCAGGUGGGCAGUUUGACUGGGGCGGUCGCCUCCCAAAUGGUAACGGAGGCGUACAAAGGUUUCCUCUGAACGGAUAGAAAUCGUAUCUAGAGUGUAAAGGCAUAAGGAAGCUUGACUGUGAGACCUACAAGUCGAGCAGGGACGAAAGUCGGUCUUAGUGAUCUGACGGUACUGAGUGGAAAGGCCGUCACUCAACGGAUAAAAGUUACUCUAGGGAUAACAGGCUGAUCUCCCCCAAGAGUUCACAUCGACGGGGAGGUUUGGCACCUCGAUGUCGGCUUAUCGCAUCCUGGGGCGGUAGUACGUCCCAAGGGUUGGGCUGUUCGCCCAUGAAAGCGGUACGCGAGCUGGGUUCAGAACGUCGAGAGACAGUUCGGUCCAUAUCCGGUGUAGGCGCUAGAAUAUUGAGAGGAGCCUUCUUUAGUACGAGAGGACCGAGAAGGACACACCGCUGGUGUACCAGUUAUCGUGCCAACGGUAAACGCUGGGUAGCUAUGUGUGGAGUGGAUAACCGCUGAAAGCAUCUAAGUGGGAAGCCCACCUCGAGCUGAGUA
This 1237-nucleotide ribosomal RNA is filed under the name metagenome. RNAcentral's name for it is "bacterial LSU rRNA". It matches the Rfam family "Bacterial large subunit ribosomal RNA", at positions 1564 to 2810 of the family's 2925-position model. The record is from RNAcentral.